AUGCACUUCCUGUCACUAUCAUGUCUAUUUCGUCUGUUAUGUGUUAUGAUGUUUCACAACAGACUCAUCUCAUGUUAGCCGAGAAUCCCAAAGGAUGUUAGCAUAGCUUGCUAACAGGAAACAGUCGGAAACGGAACAUCUGAAUUCUCUCGUGGUCUACGAAACUAAUGAAGCUAACAUAACCUGCUAGCUGUGAAGGUGAUCUGUCUCUGGAGGAAAAGUUGCUGCUGUCAAUUUGUAACAAUGUCUAAAGUCCAAAUGCUGAGAGCUUUUGUCAACCAGCGACUAACUCUGGCAGCUGAAGAGAUAUGUGAGCUGUUUGAAAGAACAAUAGGAGAAUACGAGGUGCUGCUUUGUGGACAACGCAAGCUACUCGACGCUGUUCUUCAGCCUGAAAUCCGCUUACACAGAGCAGAUGUGGAGCCGCGCUCGGUGAGUGAAAGAGAGGAUCCCCCUGAGAGGCUGGAGUGGAUCCACAGUCUGGAUCAGGAGGAGCCACCAGAGCUGCCACACAUUAAAGAGGAGCAGGAGGAACUGUGGACCAGUCACGAGGGAGAGCAGCUUCCAGGGCUGGAGGAGGCUGAUGAAGAGAAACCUCAGUCCUCUCAGUUUCAUCAAAGACAUACUGAACAGAUGAAAACAGAAGCGGAUGGAAAGGAUAGCGAAGGGUCAGAACAAGCCAGGAGCUCAGAUCCAGAUUUACAACCAGAUACUGACGACAGGAGUUCACACUCCUCCUCUGACUCUGAGACUGAUGACAGCCGUGACUGGGAGGAGACCAGAGAACCUCGCUCAGGUUUAAAGAAGAAUGAAGGACAUCAGCAGAAACACAAUGGACUCCAGACAGGAGUGAAACCAUUUACCUGCUCAGUUUGUGAUAAAAGAUACCACAGGAAGAACUGGUUAAGGGCUCACAUGAGACUUCAUUCAGAAGGGAAACGUCUCAGCUGCUCAGUUUGUCAAAAAACUUUUCAGUGGAGACGAGAUGUUGUGAAACACAUGAGAAUCCACACAGGAGAGAAGCCCUUCAGCUGUUCUGUCUGUGGGACAAAAUUUUCACAAAAGGAAGCUUUGAGCCGACAUAUGAAAAUUCACACAGAGGGAGAAGCAGUUGAGGUGGUUUCCUCAGGUGGUCUGGGAAGGCAGAGGAAGAGGCCAAAUCCUGAGACCUGGAAGGCCAACGUCCAGAAAAGGAGGCGGAUGAAGGGCCAAUCCUAUCUUGGCAGAAAAAACAAAGAGACAGUGUUGAAGGAGGCAAGACAAAUGGGCAUGCCAUGCCAGUCUGUGGUCUGCCAAAAAUCUUCUAAACUGAACUGUAGACAAAUAGAUGAAUCAAAGAGAGGGGAGAUUUUUAAGUACUUCUGGGAGAAAUUGGACUGGAAAGAGAGGAAAAUUUAUGUCAAAUCAUUAGUGGAACUGAGCAAUGUGAAGAGGCAGCGGACAGCAGCAGAAGAGUCCAGGAGGUCAGCUUGCAGACACUUCCUACCUUCACGUGUUGAAGAAACACUGGGAGAGAAGAAGCUGCUUAUUUCAUCCUCGUCAGUCCAGGUGUUCUGAGUGCAUCUGAUCUGAGGACUCUGUGAGUGAGUUGGUUUUAGUUGAGCUCCUGCACCAUAACUUUAUUUUUUCAGUGUUAAAAUAGAGAAGUCCAUAACACUGAUUUGCACAAAAGUCAUGCAGGAUUCUGUAACAAUUGGUUCAUCUUAAUGUCGAAGCAAGAGAGGAAAAGAAUGCAAAGAAAAAAAAGUCACUUCUGCAACACAGCCAGUGCCUCCGUGAAGUCCCCAGCCGCAAAGAAGGAUCUUUUUGAGAUGGAGGAAGAAUCUGUGGCCCAAGACAACAUCAUCUCCGCCCUCUCUCAACUCGUUAACAUGAAGCACUACAGGAGAAAUGCUGCAGCUCGUAGGAGUUUCCUCCUCCAGGUGAAGUGACAUCAUGGGCAUUGGCUGUGAACCCCAGGAACAACUACAGGUACAUGUGGAUGGACAUGUCUCAUCCUUUAUGGACUCUCCAACAUCAACAACUUGAGAAUGAGGCUGUGCUUACUUUGUCCAUGUCGACAGAGAGCUCUGCAAACCACUGCCUGGCAUCUUUCUGCUGUACCACACAGGCAACAUGCAGACAGGCUGUGGGAAGAAAAGAAAAACAGCUGAUCAUAUUAUGUCUGAUAAUUAAGUCAGUAACUACAUUAAAUAGCUGUGGUGAGAAAUGCAAGGGGACAAAUCUUACCCAAGGCAAUCAUGAAGGGAGGGUAGAGCAGACACAGGUCUGUCCUGUAUGUGUCAUUCACUAUUCGCCUGUCACAGACAGAGAAAUUAUGUAAGCCUACCAUCUAUACCUAGUAUGUUGUGAAUCUAAUCAUCUGUGACAUCACUGGCUGAUUUCCAAAUAAAUGCACAGACGGCAUCAUACCAGGCCAGGGGUAGCAGCAUGUCCUCCUGUCCCAUAUCCUGCACAUACUGCAACAGUGGUCUGUAGGGGUGGUACACUAUGAGGCAGCAGUCCUGAAAAAUGUAUACAUUAAGAGUAAGUAAUCCAUCCAGUCAAGCAAAACACAACCUGCAGUACAGUAGCAGUAACACAUAGAUCUCCCCACUCACCAUCAACUCCAGAAGAUAGAACUCACAUUCUAAUAUCUGUAAAGACACAAAAUUAUAUUCAGCAUGUCAGACCAGUUUAACUCAACCUUUUCUAACAAUGUCUGACAGAAAACAUAGACGACAACCUAUUCAUAGGAUAUAACAAAAAUAAGGGGCAAAAAUACCCCCUUAUCAGAUUACUUGAAAAUCAACUAGGAUAUCUCUUUCUGUAAUUUAUUUAAGUCCUUUCAUAGUGUGCAGUGCAUGUAUUUUUUUAUGUGACAACCUGUAGUGGCACUUCAAAACUUUAACUCACUCACUUAAAUAAUUAUACCUAAUAAACAUCAGAAUUUUGCCUUCAAAUGCUGUUUACAUUGCCAGAUAAAGGAAUAAUCUUGGAGUUUUUGCUGGGGAGGAGGUCCAUCAAGAAAUAUCAACUCGUCUUUCAAACAAACACCAUGGCUGUUUGCCCCGGGCUGCCACCACUCUUACUAUGUAUGCAGACUGGACUUAAGCAAUUACAUGCAGGAGUUGCAGCAGCCUGCGAACUCAUUAUCUACUGUGUGAACCACUCCCGCCUUUUAUCGCUCCAUGGUGGCUCACUAUAAAUAAUAGUUUACACAGCUUUCUGGACAGGCAGCAUGUCAGAACAGCCCAGCUGACGUCCUGGCGACUCAGAGGAGAUGCUGGAUAAAUAAAAUGUCGGCAGUACACACCACUUGACACCGCAGCGAGAAAUGCAGAACGAAUACGCAUGUAGUUCAACACAGGUGGCCCCGAUCUAAGCUACCUCCCACAGCAGCAAGGAUUUUAUCAGAGGAUUGUGAACAUUAGUUGUGGAAUCUUACAUAUUGGUGGACACUGACAUGACAACACUGUGACACAGUGUAAGAGGUCCUUGGUACACUGUAAUGUAACACGGCAGUGCAUAAAUAACUCGUGGAGGAAGCUGGAAAACAAUUAUGGGGCUGAUUCAUAGCAUAGCUGAUCCACCAGCAUUUGGUUAUUUGAGUGGUUUAAACUGGUGAAUUAUUUCUGACUUUGUUUUAGUCUCUUUAUAGCACAAACACACAUUUGGACAGUCUAAUUAAAUAUUUUGUCAUUGUUUCAUUAGACUUUACUUGUCCUCAAUUUAUCAUGGCAUUUACUGUUAAAUUAAUGUUAUUUCUGAUUAUAGUUUUUACAAUGCAUUUAGUGUAAUGGCAGCAGUUUCUAAAAGCCUAAACUUUAAAUUGUUUCAUAAAUGUUUUACUCACAUGAUUCAUUCUGUAAGGAAACUCCUUUGGAAAGGCAUAGGAAAAUCUUGUUUUCACUGUUUGAGGAAAAGCAAAAUAUCAUUACAUUGUCUCCACUGCAGAAUAAAAAACAAUUUUCAGGAUGUGCAUUACUUUCAUGUUUAGGAAAUAUGUUGCUCAGUGUGACAACUUACACACAGAUGUUGCUGCAGAGAUCAGCCUGGUAUUGGACACUACUCCAAAUUCCUGAAAGGACAUAAAUUUUUGAACUCUGAUCAGAUGGAUAGAGCACAGAUCAGAUACAAAACAGUCCAUGGUGGUGCUACUGGAGGAUUUGGAUGAGAAGCAUCUCAGUGCUCACC
RNA transcript from Scatophagus argus, 4176 nucleotides. It is a transcript of the gene named zinc finger protein 135-like, with no coding region annotated. Lineage: Eukaryota; Metazoa; Chordata; Actinopteri; Scatophagidae. The record is from RefSeq and is a predicted model, not a curated record. The transcript has 7 exons.